This 362-nucleotide long non-coding RNA is filed under the name Gossypium barbadense (sea-island cotton). Its description in RNAcentral is "long non-coding RNA (GBAR_LNC010447)". Lineage: Eukaryota; Viridiplantae; Streptophyta; Magnoliopsida; Malvales; Malvaceae. The record is from RNAcentral.
UGUGUCACCGGUAUAAACUGCCUUGAUCGAUACUGCCUUAACACCAUCAGUGGAGCGUAUCCAAUGGCUCCCCAUAUUCCAGCCAGAGGGACCCAGUCAAAAUCACCGCACCUAUAUAAGAUCUCGUCAGGAAUCAACCACGGAGCCCUCCAUUCAAUGUCUUCGGCCCGUAAAUUUUGGAGAAUAGUUAUCCACCUCUCUUCGGAGAUGUUGUCCCGCCUCGAUGUGGCCACUAAUUCUCUUAAUGGGGAAUAAUCCUUAGAGAAUACCCGAUAGGAGACCUUCUCCACCUUCCAAAAAUGACUGUGGAACCAAGCCAAAAGAAGCUGUGCGCAACCAAUAAAUCUUCCCUCGCCCGCUCU